GAAAUGCGAUACGUAAUGUGAAUUGCAGAACUCCGUGAAUCAUCAAAUUCUUGAACGUAAAUGGCGGUGCCCAACUCUUCGGGGUUGGACACCACAUCUGUGUGAGCGUCAUUUAAAUCACAAUAUCCCGCAUGCCCCGUGGUGUGUGUGCGAUGAUGUGGCGGUUCCAGCUGCUUGCAUUUAAUGCCGGUGGCUGAAUCCGUUCAAGUGAGCAAGGACGCGCGUGCCACACAAUGGCUCGUCUGCGCCUCCUGAUAUAGUAUUGGAAACUCCUACACUGCAUCAGAAGCGCAAACACGGUCAUGGUACGAACAACGCAGCCUUGAAUGCACUCCUUCGGGAGCCUUCAAAUAUGACCUCAUAUCAGGUGAGAAGACCCGCUGAAUUUAA
Molecule: unclassified non-coding RNA, 390 nt
Filed under: uncultured fungus
Lineage: Eukaryota; Fungi
Description: sequence contains ITS1
Rfam family: 5.8S ribosomal RNA (bases 1-111)
Source: RNAcentral